Molecule: ribosomal RNA, 398 nt
Filed under: uncultured Glomeromycotina
Lineage: Eukaryota; Fungi; Glomeromycota
Description: SSU rRNA
Rfam family: Eukaryotic small subunit ribosomal RNA
Source: RNAcentral
CUGGUAUUAUUGAUUUCUACCUUCUGACGAACCAUGAUGUCAUUAAUUUGGUGUCAUGGGGAAUCAGGACUGUUACUUUGAAAAAAUUAGAGUGUUUAAAGCAAGCACACGCUUGAAUACAUUAGCAUGGAAUAAUGAAAUAGGACGUUUGACCCUAUUUUGUUGGUUUCUAGGAUCGACGUAAUGAUUAAUAGGGAUAGUUGGGGGCAUUAGUAUUCAAUUGUCAGAGGUGAAAUUCUUGGAUUUAUUGAAGACUAACUACGGCGAAAGCAUUUGCCAAGGAUGUUUUCAUUAAUCAAGAACGAAAGUUAGGGGAUCAAAAACGAUCAGAUACCGUCGUAGUCUUAACCAUAAACUAUGCCGACAGGGAUCGGAUGAUGUUAAUUUUUUAAUGACUC